Molecule: long non-coding RNA, 367 nt
Organism: Peromyscus eremicus (cactus mouse)
Lineage: Eukaryota; Metazoa; Chordata; Mammalia; Rodentia; Cricetidae
Exons: 2
Source: RefSeq, a predicted model, not a curated record
CAUGCCUUUAAUCCCAGCACUCAGGAGGCAGAAGCAAGUGGAUCUCUGUGAGUUCCAGGACAGCCAAGAAAGCCGACAAAUCUGAAGACAUGCCUGAGGAGGUAGCUGUGUCUGGAAGACAGUAGGAAGUGUGUGUCCUCAUGGAAGACCCCAGCCUACCCAGUGGUUUUGAUCUGGAAAAAGGCCUCAGGCUUGCCUUUGUUACCUUUAUAUUACUCUUUGUAAUAGUGAUGGUUUUCCGGUGGUUGAAGUUUCUGAGGGAUUCAAAUGAAGUUUUUGACUAGUAAGCUCCAUAACCACAGAUCCAUCUCUGAGCUGAAGGACCAUAAAACCUGCAGACUCCCCUCACAAGACAUUUGCAAUCUUG